AGCAUCCUACGCGCAGAGAUACCGUCCCUAAUAGGCAACCGCAAAGGAUCUACUACCGCCCUCCACGACCAACCACAACUAGGAGACGCCCAGCAUGUGGCAAGGGAUAAUUUCACCUGGGACGUCCACUCCACUGCAUGAAUGAAAGAACAAAGUGAUUCAUUCCUGCAAAUUUUUGCUCCGCAACACCAAUAAAGGCUUUCUGUUUUAAUGCUGAAAA
RNAcentral lists this long non-coding RNA (220 nucleotides) under Dermacentor andersoni. RNAcentral describes it as "uncharacterized LOC126525659". Lineage: Eukaryota; Metazoa; Arthropoda; Arachnida; Ixodida; Ixodidae. The record is from RNAcentral.